RNAcentral lists this non-coding RNA (489 nucleotides) under Drosophila virilis. RNAcentral's name for it is "Eukaryotic large subunit ribosomal RNA". It matches the Rfam family "Eukaryotic large subunit ribosomal RNA", at positions 1 to 472 of the family's 3401-position model. The record is from Rfam by way of RNAcentral. Lineage: Eukaryota; Metazoa; Arthropoda; Insecta; Diptera; Drosophilidae.
CAACCUCAACUCAUAUGGGACUACCCCCUGAAUUUAAGCAUAUUAAUUAGGGGAGGAAAAGAAACUAACAAGGAUUUUCUUAGUAGCGGCGAGCGAAAAGAAAUCAGUUCAGCACUAAGUCACUUUGUCUAUAUGGCAAAUGUGAGAUGCAGUGUACGGAACAUCAACAUUCUAGUAUGAGAAGUUAACGAUUUAAGUCCUUCUUAAAUGAGGCCAUUUACCCAUAGAGGGUGCCAGGCCCGUAUAACGUUAAUGAUUACUAGAUGGUGUUUCCAAAGAGUCGUGUUGCUUGAUAGUGCAGCACUAAGUGGGUGGUAAACUCCAUCUAAAACUAAAUAUAACCAUGAGACCGAUAGUAAACAAGUACCGUGAGGGAAAGUUGAAAAGAACUCUGAAUAGAGAGUUAAAUAGUACGUGAAACUGCUUAGAGGUUAAGCCCGAUGAACCUGAAUAUCCGUUAUGGAAAAUUCAUCAUUAGAAUUGUAAUAU